RNAcentral lists this ribosomal RNA (539 nucleotides) under Phylloscopus valentini (Bianchi's warbler). RNAcentral's name for it is "Seicercus valentini (Bianchi's warbler) partial 12S ribosomal RNA". It matches the Rfam family "Bacterial small subunit ribosomal RNA", at positions 14 to 912 of the family's 1533-position model. The record is from RNAcentral. Lineage: Eukaryota; Metazoa; Chordata; Aves; Passeriformes; Phylloscopidae.
UNGUCCUNNCCUUACUGUUGGNUGUUGNUAGGUAUAUACAUGCAAGUAUCCGCGCGCCAGUGUAGACGCCCUGGGCACCCUAACCUCUAGGUCGAUAGGAGCAGGCAUCAGGCACACCCAUGUCGUAGCCCAAGACGCCUUGCAAUUGCCACGCCCCCACGGGUUAUCAGCAGUAGUUGACAUUAAGCAAUGAGUGUAAACUUGACUUAGCCAUAGCAAUUUAGGGGCGGUCAAUCCUGUGCCAGCCACCGCGGUCAUACAGGAGACCCAAAUCAACUUUAUAACGGCGUAAAGAGUGGUCACAUGCUAUCCGAAGUAACUAAGAUUAAAAGGUAACUGAGCUGUCGUAAGCCCAAGAUGCCCAUAAGGCCUCCUACAAAGAAGAUCUUAGACCAACGAUUUAUUGAACUCCACGAAAGCCAGGGCCCAAACUGGGAUUAGAUACCCCACUAUGCCUGGCCCUAAAUCUUGAUGCUCGAUCUUACCGGAGCAUCCGCCCGAGAACUACGAGCACUAACGCUUAAAACUCUAAGGACUUG